GACGAGGUGGCCGAGUUGUUAAGGCAAUGGACUGCUAAUCCAUUGGGUUCUGCCCACGAUGGAACGAAUCCCAUUCUCGUUU
Non-coding RNA from Trichonephila inaurata madagascariensis, 82 nucleotides. The record is from the annotation of a GenBank genome assembly. NCBI's taxonomy places the organism in Eukaryota, Metazoa, Arthropoda, Arachnida, Araneae, Nephilidae.